AAUUAAAACCUAGCUAGCCUCUCGACCCUCUCUCUCGACAUAAAGCAUCUCGACCUCUCUCAUUUUUUGAACCCUCUCGACCCUCUCUCUCUCAGUCCUCUCUCAAUUAGAUUUGGAUUGCUGUCCUUCACCGUCCUCCUCCGCCUAGGUUUGUCUGCAGUGCCCCUAAUACACUUUCUCUCUCCUCCAUCUCUCUCUGAAAAAUUAGGAUUAGAGUUUUUUGCUGAAUCCCCAAAUUGUGCUGAAGAGAUUGGCGGUGGUUCGGGUUCGGCGAACUAAAGACCAUCUCGCUUUAAUUUGCCAUCAACAUGUCAUCAGUCCCUUCAAUUUCAAGUCCUUCACCUCCAUCAGUCCAUCGUUUCCUUGUCUCUUUCACCGGUUAUUCUCUUAGCUGGGCCGAUUGAGGUUCGGACUCUCGAGAAAGCUCUCAGGUUUGCAUUUCACCAAAGUUCUUCAGCGAUGGAGGACAUUGAAUGCCCCAGAUCCACUUUCUCUCUCCACCUCGCCUUCAAACUAGGGUCAAUUGAAGAGAUGCAGAAGACGAAGGUGUCCGAGAGCGGAGGCCAACAUGCUGUUCUGCGCUGACGAGGCAGCGCUGUGCUUCGAUGUCCUUAACCUCUUCAUGGUGACAGUAAGAGAUGCUCUAAACUCUGCCUUCGAUGAGAAAAUGUAUGCCGAUCUGAAAGUGUUUUUGAUGGGUGAAGAGGUUGGGCAGUAUCAAUGUGCUUACAAGAUAACUGAGGACUUUUGGAUAAGUAUGGCCUUGAGAGGGUUCUCGAUACCUCAAUCACAGAGAACAGGGGUCCUUUGGCAUUUCAAUGGUCAUGUUUUUGCAUAUGUUGUGAAGGGAAUUAUGGGAAUGUAGGUGAAGCAUGAAUGCACACAAUUCAAAGAAUUUUGUCUAGCAGGAAAUGCUGAAGGAUGCUUCAGGGCUUUCCAGAGAGCGAAACAUGAGCAUCAGGCAUUAAAGAGGCAGUUUGAAACUCAUUUCUAGUUGAGAAGACAAGCUGGAAUGGCACAAAGGUCUUGAAUGCCACAUAGAUUGGUGAUUGCAUGAGGUGCCCAUAUAAUAGGGAGAAACUAGUUGAGAACCAUGUAUUUUGUCAAUCUCGUGAACUCCUAGCUACGUAAUAUAUGUUUUACACUUCAGUCUUUGUUGGUUUCAUUGCUGACCAUAGUUAUUGCUUCAUAUAUGGUUCUCUUUGUGUUCUCAUUUCUCCCUAUUAUAUGGGCACCAUAGUUCUUGCUUUAUAUGCUAGGAGUUGUUAUCCAGCUAAAGAUCUCUGUAGGCACACUGGUACUCAUCUAUUCAAAGUGUUAAGAUUCCUUCCAGAGUAUGGGGGUGUAAUACCAAAUGGAUUAGAAGGGGGCACAUUUCAGAUGCCAGAAAUGGAUGGAUUUGAGGCAACAAGGGAGAUAAGGAAAGUGGAGAAAACUCACCAUGUCCACAUUCCGAUCAUUGCAUUAACAGCUCAUACACCAGGUGAGGAAACAAGAAGGAUGUUGGAGGCCGGCAUGGAUGACUAUUUGAGCAAACCCUUGGAAAAGGGUCGUCUACUUGAAACAAUGGGUAGACUGGUAGGGAAGCAGUAGAAUUGUUGGAAGCUGCAGUCAUGGUUGUCAGAGAACAAAGGAAGAGAAAAAAACAAACAGGGCUUUUCAUGGAAUCUGACAUCUUGUCUCCGACAGUUGAACUAGAGCCAACAUAGCAAGCGGUUGAGGCUGUGAAGUGUAAAAGUGAGCGGCUCAAGUCCAGUAGGCUCAAAGAGAUCAUUUUGAAAAAGAUGUUGGAACUGGAGGACAAGCUGUUGGAUGCUCCACCCGACACACUAGGUGUUGUUGCCUUAGCACUACACUAUGCAAGUAUGACAGAACUUUAGUGCCAAAUAUUUUCCUAUCGCGACGAUUUGAUUGUAUCAGCUUUUGCUAUCUUUCAAUGUAAUUAGCUAGAAUGCAGCAGCCAUCAAGCUAAGCUAGAAUGCCUUCUUUUUUUGUUUUAUGGUAUGGAUACGUGAAUGUAUAGAUGAUUGACAAAUGCUAGCUCUUUCGGUACAUUAGAUGGUACAAAUGCUAGCUCUUAUAUUGAGCAUUAUUUUUGUGCAAAUAUUUCAGGCAAAGAAUCGAUAAUAAGCAAACAAUAGUGAAUUACAUUA
This is a long non-coding RNA of Rosa rugosa (rugosa rose), 2153 nucleotides long. RefSeq lists it as uncharacterized. NCBI's taxonomy places the organism in Eukaryota, Viridiplantae, Streptophyta, Magnoliopsida, Rosales, Rosaceae. The record is from RefSeq and is a predicted model, not a curated record. The transcript is spliced from 12 exons.